RNAcentral lists this ribosomal RNA (253 nucleotides) under uncultured bacterium. Its description in RNAcentral is "partial 16S ribosomal RNA". It matches the Rfam family "Bacterial small subunit ribosomal RNA", at positions 524 to 776 of the family's 1533-position model. The record is from RNAcentral.
UACGGAGGAUGCAAGUGUUAUCCGGAAUCACUGGGCGUAAAGCGUCUGUAGGUGGUUUAAAAAGUCUAUGGUUAAAAAUUGAAGCUUAACUUCAAAGAUGCCCUAGAAACUUUUAGACUAGAGUAUGGUAGGGGUAGAGGGAAUUUCCAGUGGAGCGGUGAAAUGCGUAGAUAUUGGAAAGACCACCAAUGGCGAAGGCACUCUACUGGGCCACUACUGACACUGAGAGACGAAAGCUAGGGGAGCAAAUGGG